Molecule: long non-coding RNA, 204 nt
Filed under: Nicotiana benthamiana
Lineage: Eukaryota; Viridiplantae; Streptophyta; Magnoliopsida; Solanales; Solanaceae
Description: long non-coding RNA (NBEN_LNC013146)
Source: RNAcentral
UCAAUUCACAAUACAUCUUCGUGGCACCCGGAUGAAUGGAGUACCUCGAACUGUGAGCCUUCUUAGAAUCCGCCUCCGCAAGCCAUCCACAUCAGGAACACAUACACGACCCUGAAGUCGUAACACUCCAUCCUCGCCAAUAGUAACCUCAUUGUCACCUCCCUGAAGUACCAUCUCUAUGAGGGCUGUCAAAUGCGGAUCGUC